RNAcentral lists this ribosomal RNA (301 nucleotides) under uncultured bacterium. Its description in RNAcentral is "partial 16S ribosomal RNA". It matches the Rfam family "Bacterial small subunit ribosomal RNA", at positions 509 to 807 of the family's 1533-position model. The record is from RNAcentral.
CAGCAGCCGCGGUAAUACGAAGGGGGCUAGCGUUGCUCGGAACCACUGGGCGUAAAGGGUGCGUAGGCGGGUCUUUAAGUCAGGGGUGAAAUCCUGGAGCUCAACUCCAGAACUGCCUUUGAUACUGAAGAUCUUGAGUUCGGGAGAGGUGAGUGGAACUGCGAGUGUAGAGGUGAAAUUCGUAGAUAUUCGCAAGAACACCAGUGGCGAAGGUGGCUCACUGGCCCGAUACUGACGCUGAGGCGCGAAAGCGUGGGGAGCAAACAGGAUUAGAGACCCCUGUAGUCCCUGUCUCUUAUAC